CCUACGGGUGGCAGCAGUGAGGAAUAUUGGUCAAUGGGCGAGAGCCUGAACCAGCCAAGUCGCGUGAAGGAUUAAGGAUCUAUGGUUUGUAAACUUCUUUUAUAUGUGAAUAAAGUGAGGAACGUGUUCCUUUUUGUAUGUACCAUUUUAAUAAGCAUCGGCUAACUCUGUGCCAGCAGCCGCGGUAAUCCGGAGGAUGCGAGCGUUAUCCGGAUUUAUUUGGUUUAAAGGGUGCGUAGGUUGUUAAUUAAGUCAGUGGGGAAAGUUUGUGGCGCAAACAUAAAAUUGACGUUGAUACUGGUUGACUAGAGUAUAUUUGAGGUAAGCGGAAUGCGUGGUGCAGCGGUGA
Molecule: ribosomal RNA, 349 nt
Filed under: uncultured bacterium
Lineage: Bacteria
Description: partial 16S ribosomal RNA
Rfam family: Bacterial small subunit ribosomal RNA
Source: RNAcentral